RNAcentral lists this ribosomal RNA (468 nucleotides) under uncultured bacterium. Its description in RNAcentral is "partial 16S ribosomal RNA". It matches the Rfam family "Bacterial small subunit ribosomal RNA", at positions 28 to 507 of the family's 1533-position model. The record is from RNAcentral.
GACGAACGCUGGCGGCGUGCUUAACACAUGCAAGUCGAACGGAAAGGCCCUGCUUUGGUGGGGUGCUCGAGUGGCGAACGGGUGAGUAACCCGUGAGUAACCUGCACUUGACUGUGGGAUAACUUCAGGAAACUGGGGCUAAUACCGGAUAGGAGCUACUGCCGCAUGGUGGGGGUUGGAAAGUUUCGGCGGUUGGGGAUGGACUCGCGGCUCAUCAGCUUGUUGGUGGGGUAGUGGGUUACCAAGGCUUUGACCGGUAGCCGGCCUGGGAGGGUGACCUGCCCCAUUAGGCUUGAGAUACGGCCCAGCCUCGUACGGGAGGCAGCGGUGGAGAGUAGUACAUAAUGGGCGGAAGGCUGGUGCAGCACCGCCGCGUGGGGUAAGACAGCCUUGGGGUUGUGUAGCGCAUUCGCCUUUGACGAAGUGUUAGUGACGGUAAUGGGUGAAGAAGCACCGGCUAACUACGUG